RNAcentral lists this microRNA precursor (164 nucleotides) under Oryza brachyantha (malo sina). RNAcentral describes it as "MIR812 microRNA precursor family". It matches the Rfam family "MIR812 microRNA precursor family", at positions 27 to 191 of the family's 205-position model. The record is from Rfam by way of RNAcentral. Lineage: Eukaryota; Viridiplantae; Streptophyta; Magnoliopsida; Poales; Poaceae.
UAUAAUAUUUUGACUCUUCAUCUUAUUUAAAUUUUUUUGCGAUUAAUAUUUUUAUUCUUACUAGAUGAUAAAACAUGAAUAGUACUUUAUGUGUGACUAAUUUUUUUGUUUUUUAUAAAUUUUUCAAAUAAUAUGAAUGAUCAAACGUUGGAUACAGAAAAACA